CCUAGUGGUGAUAGCGGAGAGGAAACACCCGUUCCCCAUCCCGAUCACGGAAGUUAAGCUCUCCAGCGCCGAUGGUAGUUGGGGCCAGUGCCCCUGCAAGAGUAGGUCGCUGCUAGGC
RNAcentral lists this ribosomal RNA (118 nucleotides) under Geobacillus thermodenitrificans. The record is from RNAcentral. Lineage: Bacteria; Bacillati; Bacillota; Bacilli; Caryophanales; Anoxybacillaceae.